RNAcentral lists this ribosomal RNA (305 nucleotides) under uncultured bacterium. Its description in RNAcentral is "bacterial SSU rRNA". It matches the Rfam family "Bacterial small subunit ribosomal RNA", at positions 332 to 652 of the family's 1533-position model. The record is from RNAcentral.
CAUUGCCUACGGGACGCAGCAGUGGGGAAUAUUGGGCGAUGGGCGCAAGCCUGACCCAGCAACGCCGCGUGAAGGAAGAAGGCCCUCGGGUUGUAAACUUCUUUUAUCAAGGACGAAACAAAUGACGGUACUUGAUGAAUAAGCCACGGCUAACUACGUGCCAGCAGCCGCGGUAAUACGUAGGUGGCAAGCGUUAUCCGGAUUUACUGGGUGUAAAGGGCGUGUAAGCGGGACUGCAAGUCAGAUGUGAAAACCAUGGGCUCAACCCAUGGCCUGCAUUUGAAACUGUUGGUCUUGAGUAUCGG